AUAGAGACUCAGAGUCUGCAUAUCAAUAAGCGGAGGAAAAGAAACUAACAAGGAUUCCCUUAGUAACGGCGAGUGAAGCGGGAAGAGCUCAAAUUUGAAAUCUUCAAGGUUCUACCUUGACGAAUUGUAGUUUAUAGAAGUGUUUUCUGUUAGUAGGAGUGGCAAAAGUUCUUUGGAAUAGGACAUCAUAGAGGGUGAGAAUCCCGUAUUUGGUCAUUCCUUCUAGCUUCGUGAUACACUUUCAAAGAGUCGGAUUGUUUGGGAAUGCAGUCCCAAAUGGGUGGUAAAUUUCGUCUAAAGCUAAAUAUUGGCGAGAGACCGAUAGCGAACAAGUACCGUGAGGGAAAGAUGAAAAGAACUUUGAAAAGAGAGUUAAACAGUACGUGAAAUUGUCAAAAGGGAAGCGUUUGACACCAGUGUUGUUUUUCCGAAAAUCAAUUACGAAUGUUUUGUUUUUGAGAAGUUAUGACUUCAUCGGCUUGCUUCUCCCUUUACGAAACUUUCUUAAUGCACUUUUCGGUUAACAAGUCAACAUCAAUUUCUUUUGUUGUAAAAGGGUAUGAGGAAGGUGGCUUUCUUUUCGGGGAAAGUGUUUAUAGCCUUGUACCUCUGCAAUCGGAGAGAUUGAGGUCUGCAGCGUAGAUCCUUCGGGGUUAGAUACAUUUGUGCUAAGUUAUAGCUUUUCAUAGACAACUUGUUGACUAUGUUAAGUCUUGUAGCUUACUCGCUUAUGCUAUUUUACCUACGCUUAGGAUGUUGAUGUGAUACUGCGAGCA
RNAcentral lists this ribosomal RNA (776 nucleotides) under uncultured Neocallimastigales. RNAcentral's name for it is "partial large subunit ribosomal RNA". It matches the Rfam family "Eukaryotic large subunit ribosomal RNA", at positions 23 to 646 of the family's 3401-position model. Lineage: Eukaryota; Fungi; Neocallimastigomycota; Neocallimastigomycetes; Neocallimastigales. The record is from RNAcentral.